GGGAUUUUGUAAGUAUUGGUGUUGUUGAAUCGGAUUUGCAUUUAUUUUGGUUUGUCUUUGAUUUGAGUUUGAACCAAAGAUUGGAAUCUGGAAGAUAAUGCAAAACAUUAACAACUUGUCUUUUCCUUUAAGCACCUUUCCUUUACCUUUGGACAUCUGACCUGUUAAUCUGCUUCCAUGUUUACCUGUACUUGUUUUAUAGGAUUGGAGUCAGCGAUGCUCGGUGCCGCUCACUCCACAGAAGCGCUUUAUCAGGUUCCUUGAGCCCCGGUUUCCCCCCUCGUUUUCUGCCCCCCCCCUCUGUUCCUCUCCUGCUUGCAGACCAAAUGAGAGCAACCCUGCAGGAGCAUGGAGGAGAAGAGGAG
Long non-coding RNA from Gasterosteus aculeatus aculeatus (three-spined stickleback), 365 nucleotides. The record is from Ensembl. NCBI's taxonomy places the organism in Eukaryota, Metazoa, Chordata, Actinopteri, Perciformes, Gasterosteidae.